This 301-nucleotide ribosomal RNA is filed under the name uncultured bacterium. RNAcentral describes it as "partial 16S ribosomal RNA". It matches the Rfam family "Bacterial small subunit ribosomal RNA", at positions 509 to 807 of the family's 1533-position model. The record is from RNAcentral.
CAGCCGCCGCGGGAAUACGGAGGGUGCAAGCGUUAAUCGGAAUUACUGGGCGUAAAGCGCGCGUAGGUGGUUUGUUAAGUUGGAUGUGAAAUCCCCGGGCUCAACCUGGGAACUGCAUCCAAAACUGGCAAGCUAGAGUAUGGUAGAGGGUGGUGGAAUUUCCUGUGUAGCGGUGAAAUGCGUAGAUAUAGGAAGGAACACCAGUGGCGAAGGCGACCACCUGGACUGAUACUGACACUGAGGUGCGAAAGCGUGGGGAGCAAACAGGAUUAGAUACCCCAGUAGUCCCUGUCUCUUAUAC